Molecule: ribosomal RNA, 517 nt
Filed under: Indirana semipalmata
Lineage: Eukaryota; Metazoa; Chordata; Amphibia; Anura; Ranixalidae
Description: partial 16S ribosomal RNA
Rfam family: Bacterial large subunit ribosomal RNA
Source: RNAcentral
UUUAACGGCCGCGGUACUCUGACCGUGCGAAGGUAGCAUAAUCACUUGUUCUUUAAAUGGGGACUCGUAUCAACGGCAUCACGAGGGCCAUACUGUCUCCUUUUUCCAAUCAGUGAAACUGAUCUCCCCGUGAAGAAGCGGGGAUAAUCCUAUAAGACGAGAAGACCCCAUGGAGCUUUAAACCCAACAACAACUCUGAGUUACUAAACCACAAAAAUUAAUUGAGCCCUGUAAUUGUUGGUUUUAGGUUGGGGUGACCGCGGAGCAUAAAAUAACCUCCACGACGAACGGGACUAAACCCUUAUCCAUGAACUACCACUCUAAGAAUCAGCACUCUGACUUCUAAUGAUCCGAUUACUCGAUCAACGGACCAAGUUACCCUGGGGAUAACAGCGCCCUCCAUUUCGAGAGCUCCUAUCGACAAAUGGGUUUACGACCUCGAUGUUGGAUCAGGGUAUCCCAGUGGUGCAGCCGCUACUAAAGGUUUGUUUGUUCAACAAUUAAACCCUACGUGAUC